Molecule: long non-coding RNA, 333 nt
Filed under: Mytilus galloprovincialis (Mediterranean mussel)
Lineage: Eukaryota; Metazoa; Mollusca; Bivalvia; Mytilida; Mytilidae
Source: RNAcentral
UUUAUUUAUAUUUUCAUUGCGUUUCAUCAUAUUUUUUUUAACUUUGAGUUUUUUCUAAUGUUAGAUAAUCGGACAAAAUAAACAAACGGUGAAACAGAUUUACAUUACAUAAUAAACAAUACUUAUGACUACUAUCGAAUAGUUUUUGCGCUGUACAAACUACUUACAUCGUGUGCAUUGAAGGCAUUACUACAAUAAUUCUUGAGGGAAUAAAACAAGAGGCUCUCAAGAGCCUGAAUCGCUCACCUUAAUUCUUUUGGUUAAAUCUCUCAUCAAUGAUUAUUUUGGCUUUUCAAUUUAUUUAAAUGUUCUUUGGAUCGUCCUAUUUUCUUC